Molecule: transfer RNA, 66 nt
Filed under: Xenophora japonica
Lineage: Eukaryota; Metazoa; Mollusca; Gastropoda; Littorinimorpha; Xenophoridae
Description: tRNA-Ser
Source: RNAcentral
AGGUUUUCUCCGGGAAAAGUUUGUCUUGAAAAUAAACUUGAAGUGUUCGACUCACUUAAAAACCUA